UGGGGAAUAUUGGACAAUGGACCGAGAGUCUGAUCCAGCAAUUCUGUGUGCACGAUGAAGUUUUUCGGAAUGUAAAGUGCUUUCAGUUGGGAAGAAAGAAAUGACGGUACCAACAGAAGAAGUGACGGCUAAAUACGUGCCAGCAGCCGCGGUAAUACGUAUGUCACGAGCGUUAUCCGGAUUUAUUGGGCGUAAAGCGCGUCUAGGUGGUUAUGUAAGUCUGAUGUGAAAAUGCAGGGAUCAACUCUGUAUUGCGUUGGAAACUGUAUAACUAGAGUACUGGAGAGGUAAGCGGAACUACAAGUGUAGAGGUGAAAUUCGUAGAUAUUUGUAGGAAUGCCGAUGGGGAAGCCAGCUUACUGGACAGAUACUGACGCUAAAGCGCGAAAGCGUGGGUAGCAAACAGG
This 407-nucleotide ribosomal RNA is filed under the name bacterium. RNAcentral's name for it is "partial 16S ribosomal RNA". It matches the Rfam family "Bacterial small subunit ribosomal RNA", at positions 355 to 776 of the family's 1533-position model. The record is from RNAcentral.